RNAcentral lists this transfer RNA (75 nucleotides) under Bacteroidales bacterium. RNAcentral describes it as "tRNA-Met". It matches the Rfam family "tRNA". Rfam says of the family: Transfer RNA (tRNA) molecules are approximately 80 nucleotides in length. Their secondary structure includes four short double-helical elements and three loops (D, anti-codon, and T loops). The record is from RNAcentral. Lineage: Bacteria; Pseudomonadati; Bacteroidota; Bacteroidia; Bacteroidales. RNAcentral also lists the same sequence under 1 other name.
CGCGGGAUGGAGCAGUGGUAGCUCGUUGGGCUCAUAACCCAAAGGUCGCAGGUUCGAGUCCUGCUCCCGCCACAA